Molecule: ribosomal RNA, 469 nt
Filed under: uncultured bacterium
Lineage: Bacteria
Description: partial 16S ribosomal RNA
Rfam family: Bacterial small subunit ribosomal RNA
Source: RNAcentral
GACGAACGCUGGCGGCGUGCUUAACACAUGCAAGUCGAACGGAAAGGCCCUGCUUGCAGGGUGCUCGAGUGGCGAACGGGUGAGUAACACGUGGGUGAUCUGCCCCUUACUUUGGGAUAAGCCUGGGAAACUGGGUCUAAUACUGGAUAGGACCAUGCUGUAGGUGGUGUGGUGGAAAGAUUAGUUUCGGUAAGGGAUGAGCUCGCGGCCUAUCAGCUUGUUGGUGGGGUAAUGGCCUACCAAGGCGUCGACGGGUAGCCGGCCUGAGAGGGUGGACGGCCACAUUGGGACUGAGAUACGGCCCAGACUCCUACGGGAGGCAGCAGUGGGGAAUAUUGCACAAUGGGCGCACGCCUGAUGCAGCGACGCCGCGUGGGGGAUGACGGCCUUCGGGUUGUAAACUCCUUUCAGCCAUGACGAAGCCCUUGUGGUGACGGUAGUGGUAGAAGAAGCACCGGCUAACUACGUG